RNAcentral lists this ribosomal RNA (396 nucleotides) under Bacillus sp. (in: firmicutes). RNAcentral describes it as "bacterial SSU rRNA". It matches the Rfam family "Bacterial small subunit ribosomal RNA", at positions 42 to 427 of the family's 1533-position model. Lineage: Bacteria; Bacillati; Bacillota; Bacilli; Caryophanales; Bacillaceae. The record is from RNAcentral.
GCGUGCCUAAUACAUGCAAGUCGAGCGGAUCGAUGGGAGCUUGCUCCCUGAGAUCAGCGGCGGACGGGUGAGUAACACGUGGGUAACCUGCCUGUAAGACUGGGAUAACUCCGGGAAACCGGGGCUAAUACCGGAUAACUCAGUUCCUCGCAUGAGGAACGGUUGAAAGGUGGCUUUUAGCUACCACUUACAGAUGGACCCGCGGCGCAUUAGCUAGUUGGUGAGGUAACGGCUCACCAAGGCGACGAUGCGUAGCCGACCUGAGAGGGUGAUCGGCCACACUGGGACUGAGACACGGCCCAGACUCCUACGGGAGGCAGCAGUAGGGAAUCUUCCGCAAUGGACGAAAGUCUGACGGAGCAACGCCGCGUGAGUGAAGAAGGUUUUCGGAUCGUA